AGAAACCGAUUUUAUGCAUUUAACGAUGAAUAAGGUAGAAUUUUAUAUCUCUUGUUCUCUAGAUUCAGCAAACAAAACAAAUAUCCAACAUUCAUUUUUUGGGAGAUUUAAGCAACAAACAGUUGAAAGCUUUUAGCUAGACCAAUCAAAAUAAAGUAUCAAUUAAAUCAGUAAAAGAAAAAGAAAAAGGACCUUUGUAUAGAUAGAUCUCAACUCGAAUUACAGCAGCUUGUCGAUUCUAAACGAAAUAUUUGCUGACAACUUCAACCGGAACCAACGAUUGGAACCUCGUACAACAUGAGAGACCAAAAUCGGGACUUUGCUGCAUUUUGGAACUUUUUUAGGGGGGGGGGGUUGUUUGAAUUGGAAUUUGAAGCUAUUUUAAAGGUAUUUUAAUUGGGGGGGGGGUAGUUUGAAUUGGAAUUUGAAGCUAUUUUAAAGGUAUUUUAAUGGAGGUUUUGUGAUAGUUUCAUGGCUGAAAUCUUUUUUGUCUUCCUCCGUGGAGAUGAAAGCUAAAACAAAGAAGAAGGCAGUCCCUCUUUUUUUGUCUCUG
Molecule: long non-coding RNA, 553 nt
Filed under: Nicotiana tabacum (common tobacco)
Lineage: Eukaryota; Viridiplantae; Streptophyta; Magnoliopsida; Solanales; Solanaceae
Description: long non-coding RNA (NTAB_LNC014941)
Source: RNAcentral